CACUGACAAAACUGUUAUUUCUUUUGAUCUCUUGAGCUAACUGAGUAGACUUAAUCACAGCGCAAUUUUCUUUGCUUUCGUGUCAAACGAUUAUGACAAACCAUUGUGGAAACAUUUUGUACAUUAGCAGUUAUUUAUUCUGCGCUUUCAUUAUUUACACCAUUCGCCAAAUUAGACCAUCUUGAAGUGCAAAGUAGUAAAUACAUACGCUUCAUGUCCAACGAGUAACAGUAAGAGUUCAAUGAAAAAGGGGUCUAAUACUUUCCGCUUUCACUAUUUUAUGUUGCAUUUAGGGAAAAAGUUAUGAUGAGUAAACACCAACUAAAAUUGACCACAUAACUUAAUAUUGGUUACAGAUUCACUGGACAAGCACCAGAAGUAAUUUGCAUGUAUAGCAGUGAAAUAGAGACUUGCUA
Non-coding RNA from Schizosaccharomyces pombe (fission yeast), 416 nucleotides. The record is from the annotation of a GenBank genome assembly. NCBI's taxonomy places the organism in Eukaryota, Fungi, Ascomycota, Schizosaccharomycetes, Schizosaccharomycetales, Schizosaccharomycetaceae.